GCAAGUCGAACGGUAACAGGCAGAGCUUGCUCUGUGCUGACGAGUGGCGGACGGGUGAGUAACACGUGGAUAAUCUACCUCCUUGUUUGGGAUAGCUUGUGGAAACAUAAGGUAAUACCAAAUGAGAUUCAUUAGUCAAAAGGCUUUUGAAGGAAAGGCGCUGAGGCGUCGCAAGGAGAUGAGUCCGCGGCCCAUUAGCUAGACGGCAGGGUAAAAGCCUACCGUGGCAAUGAUGGGUAGCCGGCCUGAGAGGGUGAUC
This 259-nucleotide ribosomal RNA is filed under the name uncultured bacterium. RNAcentral's name for it is "partial 16S ribosomal RNA". It matches the Rfam family "Bacterial small subunit ribosomal RNA", at positions 57 to 305 of the family's 1533-position model. The record is from RNAcentral.